RNAcentral lists this long non-coding RNA (383 nucleotides) under Ananas comosus (pineapple). Its description in RNAcentral is "long non-coding RNA (ACOM_LNC018051)". The record is from RNAcentral. Lineage: Eukaryota; Viridiplantae; Streptophyta; Magnoliopsida; Poales; Bromeliaceae.
UUCGAAAUACGAGUAAUUGGUCGGUACUCAGUCAACGAUCUUCAAUAAAUUAAUUAAUAAUUAAUUAAUUAUAAAUUAAUAAAUAAAUAAAUUAAGUAAUUAUAAAUAAUUAUAAAUAAUAAAUAAUAAAUUAUUAAAUUAUUUUAUUAUUUAAGCAAUAAAUAAUAAUUUAAAUAUAUUAAUUAAAUUAAUUUAUUAUUUAACAUUAUAAUUAAAAUUAUUUUUAGACUUUAAUUAACCUUAUUCUCACCUGAGAACAAGCUUGUUAAUUCUAGAGAAAAGGUGGAACAGCAGUUACAGCCUUAUACCGGUUUAUUCAAAAAACACAACUACUGUUCUCGGGUACCAAAUGCAACAUUUGGGAACAAAGGGAGGAAUAAGGG